Small nuclear RNA from Gorilla gorilla gorilla (western lowland gorilla), 104 nucleotides. The record is from Ensembl. Lineage: Eukaryota; Metazoa; Chordata; Mammalia; Primates; Hominidae.
GUGCUGACUUCAGCAGCACAUACACUAAAAUUGAAAUGAUAUGGAGAUUAGCAUAGCCUCUGCGCAAGGAUGACACACAAAUUCGCGAAACAUUGCAGAUUUCU